GACGAACGCUGGCGGCGUGCUUAACACAUGCCAGUCGAACGGUAAGGCCCUGCUUUUGUGGGGUGCUCGAGUGGCGAACGGGUGAGUAACACGUGAGUAACCUGCCCUUGACUUUGGGAUAACUUCAGGAAACUGGGGCUAAUACCGGAUAGGAGCUCCUGCUGCAUGGUGGGGGUUGGAAAGUUUCGGCGGUGGGGGAUGGACUCGCGGCUUAUCAGCUUGUUGUUGGGGUAGUGGCUUACCAAGGCUUGGAUGGGUAGCCGGCCUGGGAGGGUGACCGGCAAAUUGGGACUGGGGUAACGGCCAGAACCCUAACGGGGGGAAGAAGGGGGGAUAUUUCAAAAAGGGAGGAAGAGUGAGGCAGAGAAGCCGCGUGCGGGAUAACGGCCUUCUCGUUGUAAACCGCUUUCGCAGGUGACGAAGCGUGAGUGACGGUAAUGGGUGAAGAAGCACCGGCUAACUACGUG
RNAcentral lists this ribosomal RNA (467 nucleotides) under uncultured bacterium. Its description in RNAcentral is "partial 16S ribosomal RNA". It matches the Rfam family "Bacterial small subunit ribosomal RNA", at positions 28 to 507 of the family's 1533-position model. The record is from RNAcentral.